UUAACUGACAAACUCAUUUUUCUACUGGGACAGGAUGCUGUGCUGGCUGAAGUUCCAUUUCUACAGCAAGAAUCCUAUCUGGAAGCACAGAAGUUGUCCUCUAGCCACAGCAGCUCCAACUUUUUUGUUGUUGCUGCUUUCUUCUAUCACCCCCUUCCCCUUUUGACAAAGAUCCAACUGUAGAAAGUCUUACGUAACAGUUCAGGACUACUUCGGUUCUUUUACCGGUGAAAUGAAGCUGUGAUAAUGUGGUAAAUAUGGGGAGACACCAAGCUGUGACUCUUGAGGACUUCAGCAGCACUGAAAUGCAACACUGUGGGCUUUGGCAGCUGCAUUCCGUACUCUGAAAUUCUUAUAUCAUUACUCUGGCAAACAAGAAGGAAUUUGCUUGUUUGAUUUAGCUCUGCAGUAAAGGUUCAAAUCUGAGACUGGUAAAGGAAGGAGGAAGCAGCAUAACCAACUAAUACUGGAACAAUGAACUCUGGUGUUCAAGUUCUGGCUAUGGAACUCUGGGUAAGUCUCUA
Molecule: long non-coding RNA, 524 nt
Filed under: Mus caroli (Ryukyu mouse)
Lineage: Eukaryota; Metazoa; Chordata; Mammalia; Rodentia; Muridae
Description: lncRNA (MGP_CAROLIEiJ_G0003175.1)
Source: RNAcentral